CCUACGGGUGGCUGCAGUGGGGAAUAUUGGACAAUGGGCGAAAGCCUGAUCCAGCCAUGCCGCGUGUGUGAAGAAGGCCUUCGGGUUGUAAAGCACUUUCAGUGGGGAAGAAAGCCUUGGGGCUAAUACCCUCGAGGAAGGACAUCACCCACAGAAGAAGCACCGGCUAACUCCGUGCCAGCAGCCGCGGUAAUACGGAGGGUGCGAGCGUUAAUCGGAAUUACUGGGCGUAAAGCGCGCGUAGGCGGUCUGAUAAGCCGGUUGUGAAAGCCCCGGGCUCAACCUGGGAACGGCAUCCGGAACUGUCAGGCUAGAGUGCAGGAGAGGAAGGUAGAAUUCCCGGUGUAGCGGUGAAAUGCGUAGAGAUCGGGAGGAAUACCAGUGGCGAAGGCGGCCUUCUGGACUUACACUGACGCUGAGGUGCGAAAGCGUGGGUAGCAAACAGGAUUAGAUACCCUGGUAGUC
This 465-nucleotide ribosomal RNA is filed under the name Vreelandella stevensii. Its description in RNAcentral is "partial 16S ribosomal RNA". It matches the Rfam family "Bacterial small subunit ribosomal RNA", at positions 338 to 795 of the family's 1533-position model. Lineage: Bacteria; Pseudomonadati; Pseudomonadota; Gammaproteobacteria; Oceanospirillales; Halomonadaceae. The record is from RNAcentral.